RNAcentral lists this long non-coding RNA (312 nucleotides) under Bos taurus (domestic cattle). Its description in RNAcentral is "long non-coding RNA NONBTAT017441". Lineage: Eukaryota; Metazoa; Chordata; Mammalia; Artiodactyla; Bovidae. The record is from RNAcentral.
UUGAAACUACCAAGGAACAGACUAAGAAAAAUGCCACCUGUGGAUUUAGGCCAAGUUAAAAUUAGUAUGUAUAUUUAACUUUCACUUUGCAACUCUCAGUCUCAGAACUGAAAGAACUCCAAGCAGGGACUUUCAAAUGCAGCAAGCAUCCAUUUUUCACUCUUCACAGAACUGUGUUAGAUGUUUCACCGUAUGACUUCUUUUUUUAAAGCAUGAAGUACUAUCUAAGCUUGCAACAUAAUUCAGUAGAAAAGACUGAAAUAAAUAAGUAAAGUGAGAUUCUUACUUAUCUCUGUUUUUUUAAUCUCAUUG